Molecule: long non-coding RNA, 935 nt
Filed under: Vitis vinifera (wine grape)
Lineage: Eukaryota; Viridiplantae; Streptophyta; Magnoliopsida; Vitales; Vitaceae
Description: long non-coding RNA (VVIN_LNC007187)
Source: RNAcentral
GAUGGGGAAUGCCUUAAACAAACUAAAGUAAGGCGGAUCCCAUAAACAAAGUCAAGGAAGGGGGAUGCCACACACUAACUCAAGGAAGGGGGAUGCCCAAGUGGAAUGCCAUAACUAAGUGAAGGAAGGGGAAUGCCAUUAUAAGACUUGAGUAUGGGAGAUGCCCUAAACAAAGUCACUGAAGGAAUAUAUCCUAAACAAACUGGAGAAAGGAAGAUGUCCUAAACAAACUCCAAGAGGGUAUACCAUAAACCAACUCAAGGGGUAGGGGGACGUCGUAGAAAACUAAUGAAAGGGGGAUGUGCUAAUAACAGUGAUGGAAAGUAAUUGUCAUAGACAAACUCCAAGAAAGGGGAUUCCCUAGACAAACUCAAUGAAGGGAGAUGCGCUAAAAAUAUAUAGAAAAUGGGAGGUGUUGAACAAACUAUAGGAUGUGCAUGCCCUAUAAAACUCAAGAAAGUGGGGGUGCACUAAAUCAACUAUUGAAAGGGGGAUGUCCUAAACAAACUUAAGGAAAGGGGAUGCUCUACACAAAGUCCAGGAAAGGGAAUGAACUAAACAAUCUCCAUGAAGAGGAUUGACCUAAGAAACUCAAGAAAGGGAGAUGCCCUAAUGCAACUUAAGAAAUAGGGAUGCCCUAAACAAACUAAAGGAAGGGGAAUGCCCUAAACAAAUUCAUGGAAUGACAAUACUUUAAACAAACUAAAGGAAAGGGGAUGUCCAAGAGAAAAUCAAGGAAGGAGGGGAUUCCCCACAAGAACUAAAGGAAAGGAUGCCUUAAUGAAACUCUAUGCCAUAAACAAAUUCAAGGACACGGGAUGUCCUUAAAAAACUCUAAGAAAGUGGAUGCCCUAUAAAACUUAACAAAGUGGGAGUGCACUGAAUAAACACUUAGUAGGGAUGGCUUUAAACAAAUUCAACUAAGGCGAAUGCUC